UACGUAGGCAGCGAGCGUUGUUCGGAAUUAUUGGGCGUAAAGAGUGUGUAGGCGGUGCUCUAAGUCUGUCGUGAAAUCUCCCGGCUUAACUGGGAGGGUGCGGCGGAAACUGGAAUGCUAGAGGGUGGGAGAGGAAAGCGGAAUUCCUGGUGUAGCGGUGAAAUGCGUAGAUAUCAGGAGGAACACCUGCGGUGUAGACAGCUUUCUGGACCACUUCUGACGCUGAGACACGAAAGCGUGGGUAGCAAACAGG
RNAcentral lists this ribosomal RNA (253 nucleotides) under uncultured bacterium. Its description in RNAcentral is "partial 16S ribosomal RNA". It matches the Rfam family "Bacterial small subunit ribosomal RNA", at positions 524 to 776 of the family's 1533-position model. The record is from RNAcentral.